RNAcentral lists this long non-coding RNA (441 nucleotides) under Setaria viridis. RNAcentral's name for it is "long non-coding RNA (SVIR_LNC003007)". Lineage: Eukaryota; Viridiplantae; Streptophyta; Magnoliopsida; Poales; Poaceae. The record is from RNAcentral.
GCGAAUCAGGGGAGGUCGCGACUGCUGUAGACUGUGCGGUCGUGGCUACAGCGUACUGCACGGGUACUUCUGGCGGGUCAUGUCGAGGAGCGCGGGCGCCUUUCUACGCGCCAGAGCUGUAAUGCAUUUAUGGUGAGAUCGGUGGGGGCCCACGAGAUCCGCGCCCUCAUCUGCCGGUCUACGCCCGAGGCGGACCCUUGUCUUGUGGGCUCGGAUGAGUCCGACCCCCUACGCCCGGGGUCGGGCGAGGUGGAGCCGUGCGGCGAGGGGUCGGGUGCAUCCGACCCUGGGACCGUGGGUCGGGCGAGGUGGAGUUUCGUUAGCGAGGGGUCGGGCGUGUCCGACCCCGAGGCCCUGGGUCGGGCGAGGUGGAGUGGGAUGCUCCUUGCCCAUGCCGGGUCGGCAGAGAUCGCUAUUACCGCAGGUGGGCCUGGGCCUUUU